AUACGUAGGGAGCAAGCGUUGUCCGGAUUUACUGGGUGUAAAGGGCGCGCAGGCGGGUAGGAAAGUCGAAUGUGAAAUCUUAGGGCUCAACUCUAAGGCUGCAUUUGAAACUUCCUGUCUUGAGGGUAGGCGGAGAAAACGGAAUUCCAUGUGUAGCGGUGAAAUGCGUAGAUAUAUGGAAGAACACCAGUGGCGAAAGCGGUUUUCUAGCUUACACCUGACGCUGAGGCGCGAAAGCAAGGGGAGCAAACAGGAUUAGAAACCCCGGUAGUCC
This 274-nucleotide ribosomal RNA is filed under the name uncultured bacterium. RNAcentral's name for it is "partial 16S ribosomal RNA". It matches the Rfam family "Bacterial small subunit ribosomal RNA", at positions 523 to 796 of the family's 1533-position model. The record is from RNAcentral.